AUGCCGGUGAGCAGGAUCGCCAUCGGCGCCCCGGGGGAGCUGUCCCACCCGGACACCUUCCGCGCCGGCGUCGCCGAGUUCAUCUCCAUGCUCAUCUUCGUCUUCGCCGGCUCAGGCUCCGGCAUGGCCUUCGGCAAGCUGACUGACGGCGGCGCGACGACGCCGGCGGGGCUUAUCGCGGCGGCGCUGGCGCACGCGUUCGCGCUCUUCGUGGCCGUCUCCGUGGGCGCCAACAUCUCCGGCGGGCACGUGAACCCGGCCGUCACAUUCGGCGCCUUCGUGGGCGGCAACAUCAGCCUGCUCAAGGCCGUGGUGUACUGGGUGGCGCAGCUGCUCGGCUCCGUCGUGGCCUGCCUCCUCCUCAAGAUCGCCACCGGCGGCGAGGCCGUGGGCGCCUUCUCGCUCUCCGCCGGCGUCGGCGUCUGGAACGCCGUGGUGUUCGAGAUCGUCAUGACCUUCGGGCUCGUCUACACGGUGUACGCCACCGCGGUCGACCCCAAGCGCGGCGACCUCGGGGUGAUCGCGCCCAUCGCCAUCGGCUUCAUCGUCGGCGCCAACAUCCUCGCCGGCGGCGCCUUCGACGGCGCCUCCAUGAACCCCGCCGUCUCCUUCGGCCCCGCUGUCGUCAGCGGCGUCUGGGAGAACCACUGGGUCUACUGGCUCGGCCCCUUCGCCGGCGCCGCCAUCGCCGCCCUCGUCUACGACAUCUGCUUCAUCGGCCAGCGCCCCCACGAGCAGCUCCCCACCGCCGACUACUGA
This 759-nucleotide ribosomal RNA is filed under the name Triticum aestivum (bread wheat). RNAcentral describes it as "partial small subunit ribosomal RNA". Lineage: Eukaryota; Viridiplantae; Streptophyta; Magnoliopsida; Poales; Poaceae. The record is from RNAcentral.